RNAcentral lists this non-coding RNA (582 nucleotides) under Pongo abelii (Sumatran orangutan). Lineage: Eukaryota; Metazoa; Chordata; Mammalia; Primates; Hominidae. The record is from RNAcentral.
AAACACAGAUCCUGGUGCCGAACAUGAGGACAAGACAGGCCGAAGGAGAAAGUGGAAGGAGGGGAUCUUCUCUCUCAGCCUCAUCCUCCUGGGCCUGGAUGCUGGAGAGUCAUGAGGUGCUUCAGAGUACUCUGGGUGAGGAGGGAAAGAUGGUGCCCACCACAUGGAGGCCAGCCUAGGUCUUGUAUGAAACCCGUGAGCUCUCAUGAACCAGUACAGUCCUGCUUGAGCAUAGCCCUGGGUCCAAAGGAAAAGAAGAAAAUGCUGAGUGUGUGGGUGGAACAUCUAACCUCUUCGGACGUACAAGGCUCCUGCCUAUUUCAUCCUCUCCCCUGGCACGGCAGCAGAUGCAACUCUGGAGUGGGGGAAGAGGGCGGGAAAAGAGCCUGUGCUGCUGAGCACCUACCAGGACUUGUCAGGGCCCAGGCACCCUAUGAAACACCUUAUGUUGAUUAUCCCACACCAAGCUCGCAAACCUCUGAGGUAGGCAACUUUGUCUCAGAGACAGGCUGAGUAACAAGCCCAAAGUCAAACAGCCAGGAAGAGACAGAACUGUAUUAAACUUAUCUACUGGACCCCAAA